Molecule: ribosomal RNA, 721 nt
Filed under: Saprolegnia sp. 1 APM-2013
Lineage: Eukaryota; Oomycota; Saprolegniomycetes; Saprolegniales; Saprolegniaceae
Description: eukaryotic LSU rRNA
Rfam family: Eukaryotic large subunit ribosomal RNA
Source: RNAcentral
UUAAGCAUAUCAUUAAGCGGAGGAAAAGAAACUAACAAGGAUUCCCCCAGUAACGGCGAGUGAAGCGGGAAGAGCUCAAGCUUAAAAUCUCCAUACUUGUAUGGCGAAUUGUAGUCUAUUGAGGCUGUUGUCAGCAUCGCGAUUGGGGACAAGUCCCUUGGAAAAGGGCAGCAUAGAGGGUGAUACUCCCGUCUCUGCUCCAAUCUGCGGUGUGUACGAUACGCUUUCUUUGAGUCGAGUUGUUUGGGAAUACAGCUCAAAGUAGGUGGUAAAUUCCAUCUAAAGCUAAAUAUUGGUGCGAGACCGAUAGCGAACAAGUACCGUGAGGGAAAGAUGAAAAGAACUUUGAAAAGAGAGUUAAAGAGUACCUGAAACUGUUGAAAGGGAACCGUAUCGUUUCCAGUGUUGUAUCCUGUGCAUAUUUCAUUCGCGGAGUAAUUUGCGGGUGCCCUGUGCAUGGGUGUGACGUCAGGGUCAGUUUGUAUGCUGCGGGAGAUGGUCAGUGAGGAGGUGCGUCACUUCGGUGAAAGUUAUAUCUCGCUGUCUAGUAGCCGUGGUUGAGACUGAGGUGCCUACAACAUGCCUUAAGGUUCCGUGUUGUCUCGUGUUGGUGACUGCUUUGAUAGCUUGCUAUGUCUGUGGUUUAUUAGUGCGAUUGAUGAUGCGGAUAACUUUUGCUGUUCGGGACUCUGGCGAAAUGGAGCGAUACGACCCGUCUUGA